AUUGAACGCUGGCGGCAGGCCUAACACAUGCAAGUCGAACGGUAGCACAGAGAGCUUGCUCUCGGGUGACGAGUGGCGGACGGGUGAGUAACGUCUGGGAAACUGCCCGAUGGAGGGGGAUAACUACUGGAAACGGUAGCUAAUACCGCAUAACGUCGCAAGACCAAAGUGGGGGACCUUCGGGCCUCACACCAUCGGAUGUGCCCAGAUGGGAUUAGCUAGUAGGUGGGGUAAUGGCUCACCUAGGCGACGAUCCCUAGCUGGUUUGAGAGGAUGACCAGCCACACUGGAACUGAGACACGGUCCAGACUCCUACGGGAGGCAGCAGUGGGGAAUAUUGCACAAUGGGCGCAAGCCUGAUGCAGCCAUGCCGCAUGUAUGAAGAAGGCCUUCGGGUUGUAAAGUACUUUCAGCGGGGAGGAAGGCGGUGAAGUUAAUAGCUUCACCGAUUGACGUUACCCGCAGAAGAAGCACCGGCUAACUCCGUGCCAGCCGCCGCAGUAA
RNAcentral lists this ribosomal RNA (504 nucleotides) under uncultured bacterium. RNAcentral's name for it is "partial 16S ribosomal RNA". It matches the Rfam family "Bacterial small subunit ribosomal RNA", at positions 30 to 523 of the family's 1533-position model. The record is from RNAcentral.